UGGGGAAUAUUGCACAAUGGGCGCAAGCCUGAUGCAGCGACGCCGCGUGCGGGAUGGAGGCCUCGGUUGUAAACCGCUUUUGUUCAAGGGCAAGGCACGGUCUUUGGCCGUGUUGAGUGGAUUGUUCGAAUAAGCACCGGCUAACUACGUGCC
RNAcentral lists this ribosomal RNA (153 nucleotides) under uncultured bacterium. RNAcentral's name for it is "partial 16S ribosomal RNA". It matches the Rfam family "Bacterial small subunit ribosomal RNA", at positions 355 to 509 of the family's 1533-position model. The record is from RNAcentral.